AUUGAACGCUGGCGGCAUGCCUUACACAUGCAAGUCGAACGGUAACGGGCCUUCGGGUGCCGACGAGUGGCGAACGGGUGAGUAAUGUAUCGGAACGUACCUUUCAGUGGGGGAGUAACGUAGCGAAAGUUACGCUAAUACCGCAUAUUCUGUGAGCAGGAAAGCAGGGGAUCGCAAGACCUUGCGCUGAUUGAGCGGCCGAUAUCAGAUUAGCUAGUUGGUGAGGUAAAGGCUCACCAAGGCGACGAUCUGUAGCGGGUCUGAGAGGAUGAUCCGCCACACUGGAACUGAGACACGGUCCAGACUCCUACGGAGGCAGCGAGUGGGGAAUUUUGGACAAUGGGGGCAACCUGAUCCAGCCAUGCCGCGUGAGUGAAG
RNAcentral lists this ribosomal RNA (378 nucleotides) under uncultured bacterium. RNAcentral's name for it is "bacterial SSU rRNA". It matches the Rfam family "Bacterial small subunit ribosomal RNA", at positions 30 to 410 of the family's 1533-position model. The record is from RNAcentral.